GACGAACGCUGGCGGCGUGCUUAACACAUGCAAGUCGAGCGGUAAGGCCCUUUCGGGGGUACACGAGCGGCGAACGGGUGAGUAACACGUGGGUGACCUGCCCUCAGCUCUGGGAUAAGCCUGGGAAACUGGGUCUAAUACUGGAUAUGACUCCACGGUGCAUGUCGUGGGGUGGAAAGCCUUGUGCGGCUGAGGAUGGGCCCGCGGCCUAUCAGCUUGUUGGUGGGGUGANGGCCUACCAAGGCGACGACGGGUAGCCGGCCUGAGAGGGCGACCGGCCACACUGGGACUGAGACACGGCCCAGACUCCUACGGGAGGCAGGCAGUGGGGAAUCUUGCGCAAUGGGCGAAAGCCUGACGCAGCGACGCCGCGUGAGGGAUGACGGCCUCGG
This 392-nucleotide ribosomal RNA is filed under the name uncultured bacterium. RNAcentral describes it as "bacterial SSU rRNA". It matches the Rfam family "Bacterial small subunit ribosomal RNA", at positions 28 to 420 of the family's 1533-position model. The record is from RNAcentral.